UGCUGAGCUCACAGUUCUGUAACAAGUGGUGUCACUUCCAGCUCUGAUAAUGAGACUGUGGUUUUGUCUAAGUUUAUUCAUCGUCCUGUGCCUGGAGCAUUUUCCAGGAACCCUGGCAGAUGAAAGAAAUGUUCCAGAGAGUGAAGAAAAAACUGAGCAGUUCCUGCGGGAUUUGUCUGAGAUCAGCCGCCUACAAAGAGUUCCAACGGGGUUCACCCCUUUCCGAGGAAAAUUCCAUAGCCAGUCCCUGCGGGGUUUGUCUGAGAUCAGCCGCCUACAAAGAAUUCCACCGAUAUGGGUUGGGAAGUAGCGUCCCCUGGUAUAAAUAAGCAUUGUUAUGUCACAUGGUGUCACCUCUGUAAUACCAACUCUGACUGACAUGAUUUAUUAAACAGCAGAUUUGUGCUCUCA
Molecule: long non-coding RNA, 411 nt
Organism: Bombina bombina (fire-bellied toad)
Lineage: Eukaryota; Metazoa; Chordata; Amphibia; Anura; Bombinatoridae
Exons: 3
Source: RefSeq, a predicted model, not a curated record